Armigeres subalbatus is the source of this 1674-nucleotide long non-coding RNA. RefSeq lists it as uncharacterized. The transcript has 3 exons. NCBI's taxonomy places the organism in Eukaryota, Metazoa, Arthropoda, Insecta, Diptera, Culicidae. The record is from RefSeq and is a predicted model, not a curated record.
UCAUUUUACAAAUCAUUCAAAAGAUUUCAAAAAAAUUCAAAAGAUUUAAAAUGAUUCGGCGAGAUUGAAUCUUUUUUGACUAUUUUCUCGCCUUAUUGACGUUUUUGUUCAGUGUGGCGAGAUUGAUAAUAAAAAAAAGUUUAAAAAAAUCAAAACAUAAACAAAGACGGUAUUCGGAAUAUUCGUGCCGGUCACAUUUAGUUACACACCCCCGCAGGGUAGUAAUAAAUCCAUUGGGAAUAGUAGCAGUGCCGGCACCGCGACCAACAACUCCAGCAAACACCAUCACCUGAUUGCAUCUUCUAGUCAAGCCUCUGGUGGGCUCCUGGGAAGCAGUGCUAAUGGCGGCAGUUUGAACAUGAACGGUGGCCACACCGUGGUGCUUUCGGAUCUGGACUCGAGCGACGAUAAUCAUCUGAGCUUCUUGGAACCGAUAAUCACGAUAAUUAUCUGAGCAAAAAUGGAACCGAUAUAUUCGACUACGAUUGUGAUUACGAUAAUGAAGAGGAGUUCAACUAUCAGGCCCGCGCUGCAGCUGCCGUAGCAGCAUCGACCAGUGCCACCAGCUCUUGCACUCCCGGUGGGGCAAAUGCGGCUGGUUCUGCUGCUGUUCGCAGCGGUAGCAGCAAUAGCAAUAGCAGCAGCAAAAAUCGCGUUUCGUUCGAUGCCAAUAUAAGUGAUUUCCAGCAAGUUUCUCUUAUUGGAGACUUCGAUAUGGAUGGAAGGGGCCUGCUGAAAACCCGAAGGUCCAACAGUCUUACCACGACGGUGAGCAGUGCAUGCGGACUUUCGUUUGGCGAGCUGCAUCAGCAAAAGCAUAACAACGAAUAUUUAUCAGCGGAAAAUCUAGCUAACCUGCAGCUUCUGCAGAAUAAACCAAGGAGUUUCUCCUAAACCAUGGACAGUCCUCGUUCGUCGGUACAGUUUGCUACUGCGAAUGAAAUGAUUAAUGGCUGGCUACCAGGGCCUGACACAAGCUCCCUAAAUUUCUGAGGGCCAUGCCACCUAAAUUUCCGGUGGACUAUGCUGCGCGAAUUUGCUUACAGUCCCUCGCUGGCACUCGGACGAUGAUCAGCUGCCCCUAACAUGGAGAACAAAUGCUGUUGUGAGCCGCUUCUAACAUGGAGAACAGACGCUCGUUCAGACUUGCACCCAAGAGAGGAGCAAACUCCCUUUCACGUUCCCUGACACCGUACAACCAUAGUUCCCACCGGGGUUGGUUACCCAAUGCUCCCUAAGGUUGCUCGUACCCCGGCCAGCACCACGGGGAGGUAGGGAUAGGCGUUGCUGAGAACCGCGAGAUGGAGUCUAUUUUGUUCCUUCAGGGAAGAAAUCACAUCAAUCAACAAAAAGAUGGAACAGAUCUUUCGAAAUCCAGAAAAGGGAGUAUAUAUGAUCCUUGAUGGCCGGAAGGGUCGUUGCCAAUCCACCAUCCACAAGUUGCAGAUCUUCGAGAAUCCUAAUGACCGGAACAGCUGUUUGACGGGUUCGAGGAAAUAUCCGUUACCAUGAUUGAGAAGGAGCUUUUUUAUAAAGUAUUCAACAACUGACCGCAGUACAAGAGGACAGCGCAUGUGUUGUGAAUAAUGAAUAAAUGGCACAAUUUCUAUUGAUAAGUAGAUAAGAAUAUAAAUCAUGCUAGAUAUAAUAUAAAUAUAUAUUUAUUAUAUGAGA